GCCUAUGGCCAUACCACCCUGAAGCGCCCGAUCUCGUCUGAUCUCGGAAGCUAAGCAGGGACGGGCUUGGUUAGUACCUGGAUGGGAGACCGCCUGGGAAUACCAGGUGUUGUAGGCU
This is a ribosomal RNA of Xenopus tropicalis (tropical clawed frog), 118 nucleotides long. Lineage: Eukaryota; Metazoa; Chordata; Amphibia; Anura; Pipidae. The record is from Ensembl.